UAAAGAUGCUCGUUAAGCGCAGAAGGACGAAAAGACCCCGGGACCUUUACUAUACCUUGGUAUUGGCGUUAGGCGCGGAUUGUGUAGCAUAGGCGGGAGACUUCGAUCCAUGGACGCCAGUUCGUGGGGAGUCGCAAGGUGAAAUACCGCUCUGUUCUCGUUUGACGUCUAACCACGAGCGGUCAUCCCGCUCUGGGACAGUGCCUGGCG
This 210-nucleotide ribosomal RNA is filed under the name Bifidobacterium jacchi. Its description in RNAcentral is "Bacterial large subunit ribosomal RNA". It matches the Rfam family "Bacterial large subunit ribosomal RNA", at positions 2054 to 2263 of the family's 2925-position model. The record is from Rfam by way of RNAcentral. Lineage: Bacteria; Bacillati; Actinomycetota; Actinomycetes; Bifidobacteriales; Bifidobacteriaceae.